AGCAGCGUGUCGAGCAGCUUUCCCGCUCGUCCGACGAAGGGGAGGCCAAGUAGGUCCUCCUGCUGCCCGGGCGCCUCGCCGACGAACAUGAGGUCGGCAUUGGCGUUACCGGCCCCGAACACCGCCUUGGUCCGGGUCCGGUGGAGAGGGCAGCGCUCGCAGUGCGACACCUCGCGAAAGAGCUCCACGAGCUCCUCGCGGCGCUCGUUUGCGCUGCGCGGCUCCACGCGACGUAAGACUAGGACCCGGAGUCGACGGCAUGGCUC
RNAcentral lists this unclassified non-coding RNA (266 nucleotides) under uncultured bacterium. RNAcentral describes it as "contains 16S-23S intergenic spacer region". The record is from RNAcentral.